AUGUAUUUAUUUGUUCAUUUUACACUUGCAGAACCGGUGUUAGCACAAAAAAGGCUUUCCCACGCAUAUAUUUUAAUCAAACCGUUUCACCCUGUUUUAUGCAUCGUGAUUUAAGCUAAUUUCUCUCAGGUGCAAUGAUAUGCCAACGAAUAAACAAUGAACUACUAUUAAUCAAUAUAGUUCAAACUGCUAUUCAAGUUUUUCUGCGGAUUACCAAAAGCUUUGAAUCGCUCGAACCAAUUAUCGUAUCCGACUGCAUUGUAAGGCUAACGGAGACCGGUCAGUUGCAUGGGAAUCACCGAGAGGAAUUAUUUGUCGAAAAUUUCAACACCAAUAACUUUGUUUAUCACAUCUGUUUAUCACAACUCUGUUCCAAUAACCCUAACCCUGAUGAAUCAGAAGCUUAUUCAGAAGCUUAAAGUCGCCAUUUUUGGCAUUGAAAAACCCAUACUGGGCAAUAUUUGGGCAUUUUAGGUUGUAUUCAGUGUUUAUUAUUUAAAUUGGCGUCUGAGGUCGGAUUCUGGCAUCUAAGUAUCCUCCCGGUUUUUGAAAACCAUAUUGCGUAGUAUUAGUAUUAAGUAUGUGUAUUUGGCCAUUUUACAGUCGGAUGAACCUCAUAAACGAAAGAAAUAAUACCAAUCAGACCGAAUGCGCAAUGGAAAUUUCAUUUUUUUUAUUCAAGAUAAGAUACCUAUAUAACGAAGAAUCUAAUAAUCUUUAUACAAACUAUUUUAGCAUUUUUGUUGUAGAUGGAGACGGCUUAAACACAACUGAAUCAAUUUGUAUCAAGGAUCGGGUUAAACUAAAAUGAGCUCUGUUGUGUCUUAUAUAUGCUGGAGACGUUUGCAUAAAUCACAUCUGUAUGAUAGUUUUUGUUCAUGAUGACAAUACGAUAAAACCAUGCAGACCAUCUGCUGCGUUUCUAUAAAAAGAAGAAGGGGAGAUAUCAUGAAAUAGCUCUAAUCGGGUGAUAGAAAUUGUGCUAGAUGCUAUUCUUGAAAUAAAAAAAAACUAACAAUAGAUCCACAAAUGGUUUUUACUAAUUAUUUAACCAUCCU
Wyeomyia smithii (pitcher-plant mosquito) is the source of this 1058-nucleotide long non-coding RNA. RefSeq lists it as uncharacterized. The record is from RefSeq and is a predicted model, not a curated record. NCBI's taxonomy places the organism in Eukaryota, Metazoa, Arthropoda, Insecta, Diptera, Culicidae. The transcript has 3 exons.